GAGGUUGUGGCUCAGUGGUAGAGCACUUGCCUAGCAUGUGUGAAGCGCUGGGUUCGAAUCUCAGCACCACA
RNAcentral lists this transfer RNA (71 nucleotides) under Marmota monax (woodchuck). Its description in RNAcentral is "tRNA.Ala". It matches the Rfam family "tRNA". Rfam says of the family: Transfer RNA (tRNA) molecules are approximately 80 nucleotides in length. Their secondary structure includes four short double-helical elements and three loops (D, anti-codon, and T loops). Lineage: Eukaryota; Metazoa; Chordata; Mammalia; Rodentia; Sciuridae. The record is from RNAcentral.